CGAUAAGCGUCGGUGAGGUGAUAUGAACCGUUAUAACCGGCGAUUUCCGAAUGGGGAAACCCAGUGUGUUUCGACACACUAUCAUUAACUGAAUCCAUAGGUUAAUGAGGCGAACCGGGGGAACUGAAACAUCUAAGUACCCCGAGGAAAAGAAAUCAACCGAGAUUCCCCCAGUAGCGGCGAGCGAACGGGGAGGAGCCCAGAGCCUGAAUCAGUGUGUGUGUUAGUGGAAGCGUCUGGAAAGGCGUGCGAUACAGGGUGACAGCCCCGUACACAAAAAUGCACAUAUUGUGAGCUCGAUGAGUAGGGCGGGACACGUGGUAUCCUGUCUGAAUAUGGGGGGACCAUCCUCCAAGGCUAAAUACUCCUGACUGACCGAUAGUGAACCAGUACCGUGAGGGAAAGGCGAAAAGAACCCCGGCGAGGGGAGUGAAAAAGAACCUGAAACCGUGUACGUACAAGCAGUGGGAGCCUCUUAAUGGGGUGACUGCGUACCUUUUGUAUAAUGGGUCAGCGACUUAUAUUCUGUAGCAAGGUUAACCGAAUAGGGGAGCCGAAGGGAAACCGAGUCUUAACUGGGCGUUAAGUUGCAGGGUAUAGACCCGAAACCCGGUGAUCUAGCCAUGGGCAGGUUGAAGGUUGGGUAACACUAACUGGAGGACCGAACCGACUAAUGUUGAAAAAUUAGCGGAUGACUUGUGGCUGGGGGUGAAAGGCCAAUCAAACCGGGAGAUAGCUGGUUCUCCCCGAAAGCUAUUUAGGUAGCGCCUCGUGAAUUCAUCUCCGGGGGUAGAGCACUGUUUCGGCAAGGGGGUCAUCCCGACUUACCAACCCGAUGCAAACUGCGAAUACCGGAGAAUGUUAUCACGGGAGACACACGGCGGGUGCUAACGUCCGUCGUGAAGAGGGAAACAACCCAGACCGCCAGCUAAGGUCCCAAAGUCAUGGUUAAGUGGGAAACGAUGUGGGAAGGCCCAGACAGCCAGGAUGUUGGCUUAGAAGCAGCCAUCAUUUAAAGAAAGCGUAAUAGCUCACUGGUCGAGUCGGCCUGCGCGGAAGAUGUAACGGGGCUAAACCAUGCACCGAAGCUGCGGCAGCGACACUAUGUGUUGUUGGGUAGGGGAGCGUUCUGUAAGCCUGUGAAGGUGGCCUGUGAGGGUUGCUGGAGGUAUCAGAAGUGCGAAUGCUGACAUAAGUAACGAUAAAGCGGGUGAAAAGCCCGCUCGCCGGAAGACCAAGGGUUCCUGUCCAACGUUAAUCGGGGCAGGGUGAGUCGACCCCUAAGGCGAGGCCGAAAGGCGUAGUCGAUGGGAAACAGGUUAAUAUUCCUGUACUUGGUGUUACUGCGAAGGGGGGACGGAGAAGGCUAUGUUGGCCGGGCGACGGUUGUCCCGGUUUAAGCGUGUAGGCUGGUUUUCCAGGCAAAUCCGGAAAACCAAGGCUGAGGCGUGAUGA
RNAcentral lists this ribosomal RNA (1455 nucleotides) under Escherichia coli. RNAcentral's name for it is "partial 23S ribosomal RNA". It matches the Rfam family "Bacterial large subunit ribosomal RNA", at positions 69 to 1569 of the family's 2925-position model. Lineage: Bacteria; Pseudomonadati; Pseudomonadota; Gammaproteobacteria; Enterobacterales; Enterobacteriaceae. The record is from RNAcentral.